CCGCGUGGAGGAUGAAGGUCUUCGGAUUGUAAACUCCUGUUGCUCGGGACGAAUGGCUCCAACCUAAUACGUUGGAGUGUGACGGUACCGAGUGAGGAAGCCCCGGCUAACUCUGUGCCAGCAGCCGCGGUAAUACAGAGGGGGCAAGCGUUGUUCGGAAUUACUGGGCGUAAAGGGCGCGUAGGCGGCCUGCUAAGUCGAACGUGAAAUCCCUGGGCUCAACCCAGGAACUGCGUCCGAUACUGACAGGCUUGAAUCCGGGAGAGGGAUGCGGAAUUCCAGGUGUAGCGGUGAAAUGCGUAGAUAUCUGGAGGAACACCGGUGGCGAAGGCGGCAUCCUGGACCGGCAUUGACGCUGAGGCGCGAAAGCUAGGGGAGCAAACGGGAUUAGAUACCCCGGUAGUCCUAGCCCUAAACGAUGAAUGCUUGGUGUGGCGGGUAUCGAUCCCUGCCGUGCCGAAGCUAACGCAUUAAGCAUUCCGCCUGGGGAGUACGGUCGCAAGGCUG
This 507-nucleotide ribosomal RNA is filed under the name uncultured Acidobacteriota bacterium. Its description in RNAcentral is "bacterial SSU rRNA". It matches the Rfam family "Bacterial small subunit ribosomal RNA", at positions 397 to 896 of the family's 1533-position model. The record is from RNAcentral. Lineage: Bacteria; Pseudomonadati; Acidobacteriota.